CAGCGCCACGGGUGGGAAUGACUAUUAUUGGGCCUAAAGCGUCCGUAGCCUGUUUGUUAAAUCUUUUGUGAAAUCGGUAAGCUCAACUUAUCGGACUGCAGGAGAAACUGGCAAACUAGAGACCGGGAGGAGUAAGAGGAAUUUCAGGGGGAGCGGUAAAAUGCUAUAAUCCCUGGAGGACCACCUGUGGCGAAGGCGUCUUACCAGAACGGUUCUGACGGUGAGGGACGAAAGCUAGGGGAGCGAUCCGGAUUAGAGACCCGAGUAGUCC
RNAcentral lists this ribosomal RNA (271 nucleotides) under uncultured archaeon. Its description in RNAcentral is "partial 16S ribosomal RNA". It matches the Rfam family "Archaeal small subunit ribosomal RNA", at positions 477 to 747 of the family's 1478-position model. The record is from RNAcentral.